UAGCGGAGGAAAAGAAACUAACAAGGAUUCCCCUAGUAGCGGCGAGCGAAGCGGGAAGAGCUCAAAUUUAUAAUCUGGCACCUUCGGUGUCCGAGUUGUAAUCUCUAGAAAUGUUUUCCGCGUUGGACCGCACACAAGUCUGUUGGAAUACAGCGGCAUAGUGGUGAGACCCCCGUAUAUGGUGCGGACGCCCAGCGCUUUGUGAUACAUUUUCGAAGAGUCGAGUUGUUUGGGAAUGCAGCUCAAAUUGGGUGGUAAAUUCCAUCUAAAGCUAAAUAUUGGCGAGAGACCGAUAGCGAACAAGUACCGUGAGGGAAAGAUGAAAAGCACUUUGGAAAGAGAGUUAACAGUACGUGAAAUUGUUGGAAGGGAAACGCUUGAAGUCAGACUUGCUUGCUGAGCAAUCGGUUUGCAGGCCAGCAUCAGUUUUCCGGGAUGGAUAAUGGUAGAGAGAAGGUAGCAGUUUCGGCUGUGUUAUAGCUCUCUGCUGGAUACAUCUUGGGGGACUGAGGAACGCAGUGUGCCUUUGGCGGGGGUUUCGACCUCUUCACACUUAGGAUGCUGGUGGAAUGGCUUUAAACGACCCGUCUUGAAACACGGACC
RNAcentral lists this ribosomal RNA (603 nucleotides) under Rhodotorula mucilaginosa. RNAcentral describes it as "LSU rRNA". It matches the Rfam family "Eukaryotic large subunit ribosomal RNA", at positions 48 to 667 of the family's 3401-position model. Lineage: Eukaryota; Fungi; Basidiomycota; Microbotryomycetes; Sporidiobolales; Sporidiobolaceae. The record is from RNAcentral.